UCCGUAAUGGUGUAAUGGUUAGCAUUUCUGCCUCUCAAAUAGGACCUCGGUGUUCAUCGAGAUCUGAUUCUCAGGGUACUGGAUACCCAAAGGGCUUUAAGUCUCUACUUUGUACGCAGGAGAUCAGGGUUCAAUUCCCUGUUACGGAA
Molecule: transfer RNA, 149 nt
Filed under: Lachnellula cervina
Lineage: Eukaryota; Fungi; Ascomycota; Leotiomycetes; Helotiales; Lachnaceae
Description: tRNA-Glu
Rfam family: tRNA
About the family: Transfer RNA (tRNA) molecules are approximately 80 nucleotides in length.
Source: RNAcentral